This 2109-nucleotide long non-coding RNA is filed under the name Anas platyrhynchos platyrhynchos (common mallard). RNAcentral's name for it is "lncRNA (ENSAPLG00000024452.1)". The record is from RNAcentral. Lineage: Eukaryota; Metazoa; Chordata; Aves; Anseriformes; Anatidae.
GUUUUCCUCUGCAGCCGAAUCUUUGGACAUUUAUUAAAUGCUGCCUGAAAUGUCAUCUGAGGGCAGGCUUUGUACCUCUUGCUUGCUAGCAGUGGUGCCCUGCUGCAGAUAGCUGCAUCUACUUGAAUGAGAUUGUAUGCUUCAUAAAAUAUUCUUCAUGGUGAGAGAAGAUAUUGUGUGCUGGGUGUUUAUGGGAUGUUUAAUACAGUUAUUCUUAUAUUACUGACUUUUAUGUCUUCGCAAACAGCUACAAUAUCUUCUCGAUGGGCUUCUGUUGUUUUCCUUCAUGGCUUGCUGACACGCUGAGAAGAGAUCAGACAUGUUUUUAUGUUAUUGUAACAAAAAGAGUUCCAUGGAAAUGACAGUGGGUGCUCCGUGGAAGCCCCCCAGGAGGUCAGAAACCAUCCCACAGAUGAAGGAAGGCAGCACAGGCGGGACCCGCUCCUAGGCCGCUGCUGCGGCCCAGCGUCCCCUCGCUGUCUGGUGGCGGCCAUCUCGUGCCAACCUGCGGUGGGAUGUCUUUAGGCAAACGUCCUGCAAACUGUGUGUGACAUUAAGCCAUGGCAGCUGUAGAACCUUCACAGGGAGGCCUCCUGUGUGUGUUAUGCAUGGCUGGACGUGUGGCUGUGGUGCAGUAGAAAAGCUGGCACAGCCGCAGCCUCCGCCUUUGCUCCUUGUAGUGCCAAAACACGAUGGCUUUCAUCCGUCGGCUGAAGGCAGGGGUUCUACCCCAGUGAUGAAGGCAGGCAAAUUUGGGGACAAAAAUAGCACUUGGCAGUGUUUUACCUACUGCUGUCUGAGGUGCGCCCCUCCACCAGCAUGAGGGAAAGAGAUAAAAAACAACAAACUCUUCACCACCCUGCAGCCACCAUUUCCUCCUCAGCCUGAUUGCUUUAUUGGUUUUACUGAUUUCUACUUAGUUAUUUGCUUUCUCUUCUUGUUUAUUUGUGACUUUCUCCUGGCAACAGUGGAGAGAAAAUGUUAUUUCAUUGUUUCUUUCAGAGGCAAAUCUGAUAACGGCGACACAAACUGUCAGGAGAAUUGGUGGGCCAGAGGAAUACCUGCCACUACUCAUUUGGCUGAAGAGGAAGAGCUUGCAAGCUCCCUGGUGCUGUCAGGGACUGUGGAAAUCCCUGUGGCCAUGGGGGCUGCUUCUUUGGGUGGUUCAGCAUUUUGCCAGUCCUGGGUUUAGAUUCUCUAGAAAGAAGCUCGUGAAGAAGGGAUGCUUCUGGUCACACUCCUGGGAGGGCCAUGGAGCAACUUUUAGGGAGAGACUUCAGGAAGGGAGAGAUCUCCACGAGCAUGGCUGGAUAUGGUAUGGCAGAGAAGGACGUUGGAUGCUUGGCAGAGUCCCACAACACAUCCACCUUUCCUCUGUAUUAGUUAAACUCUCUUGAAGAUCUACUUGCAGAAGUUCUCCUGGUGGUGCUUGGUGAAGAAGGAGCCCAUGGUGUGCCCUGCAAAUCCUGCACCUGUGUCCUGGCGAAACACGUCUUCUUUUUUUCACUUAGUGAAGCUCACCCUGCUGGUGGUUGCUCUGUACCCAGCAGGGUUUGCACUCCUCAUAGAAAAAGUUUGGGAUGAAAUACAUUCAUUUCCUUCCAUGAAUGCGUUCGUGUUUGCAUGAUAAUUUUUCUUCAGCUGUCUUUUUCCAUCAGGUCUGCAUUUUUUUUUUCUUUUCCCAGGGCAGUAAAUCAACAGGCUGUGAUUAAAGAUUUAAGAAGCUCCAUCAUUUGCCAGUCCAAAAUUUAAUUUACUGAAACAUCUCUAACUAGCAGGCAGCUGAGUCACGUUUUGUAUUUCUCUUCUCCUGUAUGGAGAGGGACAGAAGACCAGGGACAGCAUGUUUAAAGGCUUCCAGCGCUGCUGAGUUUAUAUAGCAGCCAAAGACGUUGUAGUUGUUCCCCCUCCCUCUUUCAGAGGAAGAUCCUUUUCACUACACAGCUCUAGACCUGUACUUUUCCAUUCACUAGUUGCUACUGUUGUUCUCCUUUUGUUUCCCAAAAGGAAAAAAAAAAAAAAGAAGAAGAAAAAAACAGAUGGCUUUGGUGUUGUUUACCCUAGGAAACAUUUUGAGCAUUCAGUAAUAAAACUGGAGGAAAUCCUUCA